GUUUGCUUCAGCAGAACAUAUACUAAAAUUGGAAUGAUACAGAGAAGACUAGCAUGGCACCUGCAAAAGUAGAUUUAUAUGUUAAUUAAAUUGAU
RNAcentral lists this small nuclear RNA (95 nucleotides) under Varanus komodoensis (Komodo dragon). Lineage: Eukaryota; Metazoa; Chordata; Lepidosauria; Squamata; Varanidae. The record is from RNAcentral.